This 698-nucleotide unclassified non-coding RNA is filed under the name Hevea brasiliensis (rubber tree). The record is from RNAcentral. Lineage: Eukaryota; Viridiplantae; Streptophyta; Magnoliopsida; Malpighiales; Euphorbiaceae.
AAAGAAAUUACAUUGACACAGUGGGAGGGGGGUUUUGCUUAAAAUGAACACUAUUCACCAUUUCUUAAUGGUUUUCUCUAUUCAUAGAUGCUGCAUUUGCUCAACCAUCUGCUCUAAUAUAACUUUGCUUCAUCAUCUUUUACGGGUUUCCAACGGUUUGCGGAGAGGCGAUAAGUCUCCACAAUUUCCCCCCAUUGCUUACUCUUCUCAUUUACAGGAAUGUACCAAAGGUCAGGUUCAGCAUCUAAUUCUUUCCAACUAAUAUUUAUCCCUAAGCUAUGAAAGAUUUAAUCGACCUGUUCACCGAUCAAGUCUAGGCCAACGAGCAGGAAUGAUAUACCUUGAAACAGCAAGAAGUAAAAGUGGAUUCCUUGAGCUGAUAGUAGGCUCCUUAGUGAAGCUGUCAACAGCAAGAAAGCUAAAGCCAAUUCUUUUGUGUAUAUUCUGUUGUGCUUCUUCUUUCUUGAAGCUUUUUUCUCCUUCUCUUUAAUUUCCUCUCUUAAUUCCUCUAAAUCAGGCACUGAAACACCUCGUUGGUGUUUUGGUUUCCCAUCGACCAACAAAGUAAGAUCGCCCUCAGAGGAACGUCCUGAUUUCUUGGUCGCUGUCCAUUCUUCUGAAGCAACUCGCUGGUGUUUUGGUUUUUCCUCAGCUAACGAAGCAAGAUCGCCCUCAGAGGAACGUCCUGAUUUCUUGGU